UUAGGAGAUUAGUUGUGUGGAGAGGAGAUUAGCUUUGUGGAGAGAAGAUUGAAGCUGUGUGGAGAUUGUUAACAAGCUGUGCGAACGGGGAUAUUUUUUUGGGUGGAUUACUCCUCUUAUGCAGCAAGGAUACAAAAGACCUAUUACUGAAAAGGAUGUUUGGAAGUUAGAUACAUGGGAUCAGACUGAAACAUUAAGGACAAAGUUUUUGCAAUGCUGGAUGGAAGAAUCUCAAAAGGAGAAACCAUGGCUAUUAUGUGCUUUAAAUAGUAGUCUUGGAAGAAGGUUUUGGUUGGGUGGAUUUUUCAAAGUAAGGCUAAGUUGUUUAGUGUCAAUUUAGAACUUCAAAUCCAUUUAAUCGAAAUUCAUCUGCUCUCACUAUCUCCGACCUAAACUUCUAAAAGCAUACCACACAUUACCAGGUACUUUCAUUUACUUGCAUCAUAAAGUCUCCUAUAUCCCUUUACGACAACUUAGUACUCAAGAUAAUUCAAGUGCCAUAGAUUAAAUUAUGUCAUAUCUUUUGUCAAAAACGGGUUUCCUUGGUAUAAUGUAGGCUCCAGGAUUAUUGAAUUUGAUUACUUGGCUGAUUGACGACUCCUUUGAGUUAACUUUAAGGCACAUAUAUUGGGAAGAGAUUCCUAAAAACUGAACUUUCAAGUGAUUUUUGAUAGUAUACUAAACUUGGAUGAUCCAGAUGAAGCUAAUGUUUGGUAAACAAGAUAAAGUCGUGAAUGAUCACACCAGAAAAUGUGGCUUUUGAUAUUUAUAU
Molecule: long non-coding RNA, 772 nt
Organism: Daucus carota subsp. sativus
Lineage: Eukaryota; Viridiplantae; Streptophyta; Magnoliopsida; Apiales; Apiaceae
Exons: 4
Source: RefSeq, a predicted model, not a curated record